UACAGAGGGUGCGAGCGUUAAUCGGAAUUACUGGGCGUAAAGCGCGCGUAGGCGGCUUUGCAAGUCGGGUGUGAAAUCCCCAGGCUUAACCUGGGAACUGCACUCGAGACUGCAUUGCUAGAGUAUGGGAGAGGGAAGUGGAAUUUCCGGUGUAGCGGUGAAAUGCGUAGAUAUCGGAAGGAACAUCAGUGGCGAAAGCGACUUCCUGGACCAAUACUGACGCUCAUGUGCGAAAGCGUGGGGAGCAAACAGG
Molecule: ribosomal RNA, 253 nt
Filed under: uncultured bacterium
Lineage: Bacteria
Description: partial 16S ribosomal RNA
Rfam family: Bacterial small subunit ribosomal RNA
Source: RNAcentral